RNAcentral lists this ribosomal RNA (359 nucleotides) under uncultured bacterium. RNAcentral's name for it is "bacterial SSU rRNA". It matches the Rfam family "Bacterial small subunit ribosomal RNA", at positions 917 to 1271 of the family's 1533-position model. The record is from RNAcentral.
GGGCCCGCACAAGCGGUGGAGUAUGUGGUUUAAUUCGAAGCAACGCGCAGAACCUUACCAGCCCUUGACAUGUUAGGUUUGAUUACCAGAGAUGGUUUUCUUCAGUUCGGCUGGCCUAAACACAGGUGCUGCAUGGCUGUCGUCAGCUCGUGUCGUGCAGAUGUUGGUUAAGUCCCGCAACGAGCGCAACCCUCAUCUUCUGUUGCCAGCGGUUCGGCCGGGCACUCUGAAGAAACUGCCUGCGAUGAGACAGGAGGAAGGCGGGGAUGACGUCAAGUCCUCAUGGCCCUUAUGGGCUGGGCUACACACGUACUACAAUGGCAGUGACAAUGGGCAGCGACAGGGCGACCUGUAGCAAA